Molecule: long non-coding RNA, 930 nt
Organism: Alnus glutinosa
Lineage: Eukaryota; Viridiplantae; Streptophyta; Magnoliopsida; Fagales; Betulaceae
Exons: 3
Source: RefSeq, a predicted model, not a curated record
GCACCCGCCCCCCCUCUUCCUAUUUUCUUUUCUCUUCUAUUCUUCUUCUCCCUUUCUUCUUACUUCUUCAUUUCUUCUUCAUUCUUCUGCCGAGCGACCCACAGAGACGGCAAUAGAGAGAGUGAGAGAAAUCGAGUGAGAGAGAGAUGCGAGAGAGAGAGAGAGAGAGAUAAGGGAUUGAGAGGGAGACCCGUGAGAUUUCCGUGGAAACCCGUCGAACCCGCCAGACCCGGGAGUGAAACCCGUGACCCGUGUGUGCAACCCGACGAAUUCGGGAGAACCCGUGUGACCCGAUCCUUCGGUGGUGAAGUCCGGCGCGAUUUACGGCGGCUCCAGUGGAUUUCCGGCGAAGACCCGUAACCCAGAACCCCUUAGACCUGUGACCCAUGACCCGCUGAACCGUGUGGAAGACCCGGUCCUCCAGGAGCGAUUUUCCGGCGGUCCAAUAGCGAUUUCCGGUGGAUUUUCUAGGAAAAUCCUCUAGGAUCGUGUUAUAAUUGGAGACUUCAAUGGGUUCUCCAAUGUAGAGUUCGAGUUGGAGUCCAAUGCAGCCGAGAUGAUGUUUCUUUGGCUGCAGGUACUUCGGUAUGGUCGAUGGGUCUGUAGCAGUGUGCUUGGGAUAUUAUGACUGAAGCUCGCCGCGACAGUUGUAAUUGUCGGACCACAGGUUGUCCACUAUUUUAUAGGUUUGGUAUGGCUUGUGACGUUUGUGUCACUUAUUCUUUGUUAAGCCAUUAUUGUUAUAGUGUUAAUAAGACUCAAACAGAUAGAUGUUAAAUGGCUCUUUGUUGUAAUUAACUUGUGAUAGAUGUAUAAGUUGUAAUUUCCGCUAUUCAGAUUUAUGUUUUCCGCUGCAUAGAUAGAUGUAUGUUAUACUCUGAUUAUCAGGUACAUGUUAUGGGGCAUGUGCCAUAUGUUGGCUGAGCGACA